This 407-nucleotide ribosomal RNA is filed under the name uncultured bacterium. RNAcentral describes it as "bacterial SSU rRNA". It matches the Rfam family "Bacterial small subunit ribosomal RNA", at positions 355 to 774 of the family's 1533-position model. The record is from RNAcentral. RNAcentral also lists the same sequence under 1 other name.
UGGGGAAUAUUGCACAAUGGGCGAAAGCCUGAUGCAGCGACGCCGCGUGAGGGAUGACGGCCUUCGGGUUGUAAACCUCUUUCAGCAGGGAAGAAGCGCAAGUGACGGUACCUGCAGAAGAAGCACCGGCUAACUACGUGCCAGCAGCCGCGGUAAUACGUAGGGUGCGAGCGUUGUCCGGAAUUAUUGGGCGUAAAGAGCUCGUAGGCGGCUUGUCACGUCGGAUGUGAAAGCUCGGGGCUUAACCCCGAGUCUGCAUUCGAUACGGGCUAGCUAGAGUGUGGUAGGGGAGAUCGGAAUUCCUGGUGUAGCGGUGAAAUGCGCAGAUAUCAGGAGGAACACCGGUGGCGAAGGCGGAUCUCUGGGCCAUUACUGACGCUGAGGAGCGAAAGCGUGGGGAGCGAACA